RNAcentral lists this long non-coding RNA (792 nucleotides) under Salmo salar (Atlantic salmon). Its description in RNAcentral is "lncRNA (ENSSSAG00000041452.2)". Lineage: Eukaryota; Metazoa; Chordata; Actinopteri; Salmoniformes; Salmonidae. The record is from RNAcentral.
GCUGUGCUGUCUGCCUCUCCUCUGCUCUCCCAGUCCCAGCUGCAGUGGUUUGCCCAGGGAGUGUGUGGAGCAGGGGAAGGAGUGUUUGGACCUUCUGCAGACAACUGCGGUUGUACUGGCAGAGAGGCCCGAGUCCACAAGGACACGUGGUACUCAUCUUGGACAGGAUGGGAGUCUCUCACACUUGCACCCUACACUCAAAUCGACUCUAAUGUGCAAGAUCAACGUACAAAGCGGAAUGAUGCACUUUCUUUGUGUAGAGGAGAGUUGAGGAAAGUCUACCGUGGCAUGAACACAUUGCCUAUGAGUGUGACUGCUGUGAUAACGCCCAGUGAAAUAUUUGUCUUGUCCUAUCUUGCAGUACCUCCAGAAGCUGCUAUGGGAGAGCAUCUCCUGCCUCAGGCCUCGCUCUGUCACCCACAUGCCCUCUCUACACUCACUGCUUGGCCACUGUGCUCUAAGAGAGUCUGACCGGGAAUCUCCUGAAUGGAGGUGUGGAGCCCAAGCAGGUGUUCUACGUGCUCAACCUUGAUGACAACUUGUAGUUCACCAGCCCAUUGGUUCUGGGGAGCCUGUGGGAUGUGAUUGACCGAGACAUUUACAGCUUCACCAAGGCCCUGCUGGAGUCCUGGCUGUCUGCAGGUCCCGGGGCUCCACUCCUAGACCACAUGGGGCGGCAAGUAGCCUAGUGGUUAGAGCAUUGGACCAGUAACCGAAAGAUUGCUAGAUUGAAUCCCCGACCUGACAAGGCCUCAAGCACCCGUGGUCUACGGACUCCCCUCCCCCCUGCGA